Long non-coding RNA from Mercurialis annua (annual mercury), 1417 nucleotides. RefSeq lists it as uncharacterized. The transcript has 7 exons. NCBI's taxonomy places the organism in Eukaryota, Viridiplantae, Streptophyta, Magnoliopsida, Malpighiales, Euphorbiaceae. The record is from RefSeq and is a predicted model, not a curated record.
CAAGAAAAGGAGCUUUUGGGGGCGGUUUCGUAGGGGCGGUUUUCUUAGACGCCCCUAUUAUUAUAUUUUAAAAAUAAUUUACUUUUACAGCGGCGGAAGGUGAAAACGCUCCUAAUGUCAGAGGCGCUGUUGUUGAACUUAACGGUUUUUAAAUGAAGCACAGUUCAAAUCUCUUCCUCUCUCCUCUGUUCUUCUUCAAUCGUAAAAUCAAUGAGAAGCAUUUUUUAUCCUCUUCUCUGCUCCUCACUUCUCUAAUCAGAAUCAGUUUUUAGGGUUUUGAUUUCAUUUUAAAAACGGUGAAUCUGCCAUUGCUGAAUUGCGUUGUUCAGGAGCUUUCAAGGACUUCUAAUGGCAACCGAAUUUCAUCUCAUCAUGAAAAAAUACAUCGAAUCUUUGCUAUUCUAUCUCGCAAUUGUUCAGGUGAAAUGAGGAUUCAAAUGGAAGAUGACUCUUAUCUUCUCAAUUUCUUGUCCUCAUUCAAUUUCUUUUUAUUCUCGGAACUGAUACAAGGAUAACAUAUACAGUGUAGGACUGAAGGAUAAGGAUGUUUUCUCCUCCUUUUCAUUAGUUAAUAAAGCUGGUGCCCGGUGGUCAUGCCAUUAAGGCUAAUGGAGACACUAAUCUUAAUAAUGGUUAUAUAACAGGAAGUGUCUCUUUAAAAGGAAACAAGUAAUUUGCAUCACAGCAAGAAGUUGAGCACUCGAUGAACUAUUAGGAGGUAUCUUUUCUUAUACUGUUAAAAUGCUCUCAGAGUCUCUGCUAUCGUAAAUGUAAGUGGGAUUAUUGUUGCUUGUUUCGAUGAAAUUGAUGCUCUUUUCUGUUUACUAUAAAAAGGUGGUGUUGAAACUUGCUUGUAUUACGGAAGCUUUUGGGGAAUUCCGGCGAGAUACAUUUGUUUUUUAUUAUGAUUGUUAAUUGUGUUUUUUGGUACAAUCUAAUUUCAAAUCAUGAAAUUUCUGUUGGUCGUUUCAUUCCUUGUAUAGUUUAGAUCUAGGGAAACAUAGCUUGCUCAUGCUCUGUUGGUCAUUGUUUCUUACAAUUUUUUUGUCAUUUUCUUGCAAACGCUGUGUUACUGGAAUCAUUGAGCGGACAUGGAAGAUUCUUGAUCGAAUUCUUAGAAGAGUAACUAAUGCUUACUGUCACAGUCAGAUGAUCAUUACACCAUCCACCUAUGCAUUCUUUAAAUUUUUUAUGCAUCUCUUGGCUUGUUCAUGCCUUCUUCUGACCAACCUCUCUUUUACUCUGUUUCUCAGUUAGCGCUCUAUUUUUGUCCUCUAUUCUUUUCUUUCUUCAUCACUGUCAAGCACCGUGUUGAACAUUAUAAACUAAAGGCUAUUUUAGUGUUGCAGUUUCCGUGCAAAUUGUAGAUAUCUUUAACCAUACAUCAAGAAGUCUCAUGAUUUAUUGCCUUGUUUAA